CCUACGUUUUGCGUACAUGCGUGCAGUCGAGCGCGGGAAGCGAGUGGAUCCCUUCGGGGUGAAGCUCGUGGAACGAGCGGCGGACGGGUGAGUAACACGUGGGCAACCUGCCUGUAAGACCGGAAUAACCCCGGGAAACCGGGGCUAAUGCCGGGUAAUACUUUUCUUCGCAUGAAGGAAAGUUGAAAGAUGGCUUCUUGCUAUCACUUACAGAUGGGCCCGCGGCGCAUUAGCUAGUUGGUGAGGUAACGGCUCACCAAGGCGACGAUGCGUAGCCGACCUGAGAGGGUGAUCGGCCACACUGGGACUGAGACACGGCCCAGACUCCUACGGGAGGCAGCAGUAGGGAAUCUUCCGCAAUGGACGAAAGUCUGACGGAGCAACGCCGCGUGAACGAUGAAGGUCUUCGGAUCGUAAAGUUCUGUUGUUAGGGAAGAACAAGUACCGUGCGAAUAGAGCGGUACCUUGACGGUACCUAACGAGGAAGCCCCGGCUAACUACGUGCCAGCAGCCGCGGUAAUACGUAGGGGGCAAGCGUUGUCCGGAAUUAUUGGGCGUAAAGCGCGCGCAGGCGGUUCCUUAAGUCUGAUGUGAAAGCCCACGGCUCAACCGUGGAGGGUCAUUGGAAACUGGGGAACUUGAGGACAGAAGAGGAGAGUGGAAUUCCACGUGUAGCGGUGAAAUGCGUAGAUAUGUGGAGGAACACCAGUGGCGAAGGCGACUCUCUGGUCUGUUUCUGACGCUGAGGUGCGAAAGCGUGGGUAGCAAACAGGAUUAGAUACCCUGGUAGUCCACGCCGU
This 800-nucleotide ribosomal RNA is filed under the name Halobacillus sp. JSM 2145020. RNAcentral's name for it is "bacterial SSU rRNA". It matches the Rfam family "Bacterial small subunit ribosomal RNA", at positions 36 to 803 of the family's 1533-position model. Lineage: Bacteria; Bacillati; Bacillota; Bacilli; Caryophanales; Bacillaceae. The record is from RNAcentral.